Molecule: ribosomal RNA, 2893 nt
Filed under: human gut metagenome
Description: bacterial LSU rRNA
Rfam family: Bacterial large subunit ribosomal RNA
Source: RNAcentral
ACUAAGCGUACACGGUGGAUGCCCUGGCAGUCAGAGGCGAUGAAGGACGUGCUAAUCUGCGAUAAGCGUCGGUAAGGUGAUAUGAACCGUUAUAACCGGCGAUUUCCGAAUGGGGAAACCCAGUGUGAUUCGUCACACUAUCAUUAACUGAAUCCAUAGGUUAAUGAGGCGAACCGGGGGAACUGAAACAUCUAAGUACCCCGAGGAAAAGAAAUCAACCGAGAUUCCCCCAGUAGCGGCGAGCGAACGGGGAGCAGCCCAGAGCCUGAAUCAGUGUGUGUGUUAGUGGAAGCGUCUGGAAAGGCGCGCGAUACAGGGUGACAGCCCCGUACACAAAAAUGCACAUGCUGUGAGCUCGAUGAGUAGGGCGGGACACGUGGUAUCCUGUCUGAAUAUGGGGGGACCAUCCUCCAAGGCUAAAUACUCCUGACUGACCGAUAGUGAACCAGUACCGUGAGGGAAAGGCGAAAAGAACCCCGGCGAGGGGAGUGAAAAAGAACCUGAAACCGUGUACGUACAAGCAGUGGGAGCACGCUUAGGCGUGUGACUGCGUACCUUUUGUAUAAUGGGUCAGCGACUUAUAUUCUGUAGCAAGGUUAACCGAAUAGGGGAGCCGAAGGGAAACCGAGUCUUAACUGGGCGUUAAGUUGCAGGGUAUAGACCCGAAACCCGGUGAUCUAGCCAUGGGCAGGUUGAAGGUUGGGUAACACUAACUGGAGGACCGAACCGACUAAUGUUGAAAAAUUAGCGGAUGACUUGUGGCUGGGGGUGAAAGGCCAAUCAAACCGGGAGAUAGCUGGUUCUCCCCGAAAGCUAUUUAGGUAGCGCCUCGUGAAUUCAUCUCCGGGGGUAGAGCACUGUUUCGGCAAGGGGGUCAUCCCGACUUACCAACCCGAUGCAAACUGCGAAUACCGGAGAAUGUUAUCACGGGAGACACACGGCGGGUGCUAACGUCCGUCGUGAAGAGGGAAACAACCCAGACCGCCAGCUAAGGUCCCAAAGUCAUGGUUAAGUGGGAAACGAUGUGGGAAGGCCCAGACAGCCAGGAUGUUGGCUUAGAAGCAGCCAUCAUUUAAAGAAAGCGUAAUAGCUCACUGGUCGAGUCGGCCUGCGCGGAAGAUGUAACGGGGCUAAACCAUGCACCGAAGCUGCGGCAGCGACGCUUAUGCGUUGUUGGGUAGGGGAGCGUUCUGUAAGCCUGCGAAGGUGUGCUGUGAGGCAUGCUGGAGGUAUCAGAAGUGCGAAUGCUGACAUAAGUAACGAUAAAGCGGGUGAAAAGCCCGCUCGCCGGAAGACCAAGGGUUCCUGUCCAACGUUAAUCGGGGCAGGGUGAGUCGACCCCUAAGGCGAGGCCGAAAGGCGUAGUCGAUGGGAAACAGGUUAAUAUUCCUGUACUUGGUGUUACUGCGAAGGGGGGACGGAGAAGGCUAUGUUGGCCGGGCGACGGUUGUCCCGGUUUAAGCGUGUAGGCUGGUUUUCCAGGCAAAUCCGGAAAAUCAAGGCUGAGGCGUGAUGACGAGGCACUACGGUGCUGAAGCAACAAAUGCCCUGCUUCCAGGAAAAGCCUCUAAGCAUCAGGUAACAUCAAAUCGUACCCCAAACCGACACAGGUGGUCAGGUAGAGAAUACCAAGGCGCUUGAGAGAACUCGGGUGAAGGAACUAGGCAAAAUGGUGCCGUAACUUCGGGAGAAGGCACGCUGAUAUGUAGGUGAAGUCCCUCGCGGAUGGAGCUGAAAUCAGUCGAAGAUACCAGCUGGCUGCAACUGUUUAUUAAAAACACAGCACUGUGCAAACACGAAAGUGGACGUAUACGGUGUGACGCCUGCCCGGUGCCGGAAGGUUAAUUGAUGGGGUUAGCGCAAGCGAAGCUCUUGAUCGAAGCCCCGGUAAACGGCGGCCGUAACUAUAACGGUCCUAAGGUAGCGAAAUUCCUUGUCGGGUAAGUUCCGACCUGCACGAAUGGCGUAAUGAUGGCCAGGCUGUCUCCACCCGAGACUCAGUGAAAUUGAACUCGCUGUGAAGAUGCAGUGUACCCGCGGCAAGACGGAAAGACCCCGUGAACCUUUACUAUAGCUUGACACUGAACAUUGAGCCUUGAUGUGUAGGAUAGGUGGGAGGCUUUGAAGUGUGGACGCCAGUCUGCAUGGAGCCGACCUUGAAAUACCACCCUUUAAUGUUUGAUGUUCUAACGUUGACCCGUGAUCCGGGUUGCGGACAGUGUCUGGUGGGUAGUUUGACUGGGGCGGUCUCCUCCUAAAGAGUAACGGAGGAGCACGAAGGUUGGCUAAUCCUGGUCGGACAUCAGGAGGUUAGUGCAAUGGCAUAAGCCAGCUUGACUGCGAGCGUGACGGCGCGAGCAGGUGCGAAAGCAGGUCAUAGUGAUCCGGUGGUUCUGAAUGGAAGGGCCAUCGCUCAACGGAUAAAAGGUACUCCGGGGAUAACAGGCUGAUACCGCCCAAGAGUUCAUAUCGACGGCGGUGUUUGGCACCUCGAUGUCGGCUCAUCACAUCCUGGGGCUGAAGUAGGUCCCAAGGGUAUGGCUGUUCGCCAUUUAAAGUGGUACGCGAGCUGGGUUUAGAACGUCGUGAGACAGUUCGGUCCCUAUCUGCCGUGGGCGCUGGAGAACUGAGGGGGGCUGCUCCUAGUACGAGAGGACCGGAGUGGACGCAUCACUGGUGUUCGGGUUGUCAUGCCAAUGGCACUGCCCGGUAGCUAAAUGCGGAAGAGAUAAGUGCUGAAAGCAUCUAAGCACGAAACUUGCCCCGAGAUGAGUUCUCCCUGACUCCUUGAGAGUCCUGAAGGAACGUUGAAGACGACGACGUUGAUAGGCCGGGUGUGUAAGCGCAGCGAUGCGUUGAGCUAACCGGUACUAAUGAACCGUGAGGCUUAACC